CCUACGGGAGGCAGCAGUGAGGAAUAUUGGUCAAUGGGCGCAAGCCUGAUCCAGCCACGUAGCGUGAAGGAUGACUGACCUACGGGUUUUAAACUUCAUUUAUAAAGGAAUAAAGUGAGGUACGUGUGCCUUUUUGUCUGUCCUUUAUGAUUAAGGAUCGGCUAACUCCGUGCAAGCGGCCGCGGUAAUACGGAGGAACCGAGCGUUAUCCGGUUUUAUAGGGUUUAAGGGGUGGGUAGGCGGAUCAUUAAGCCCGUGGUAAAAUUGGGGGGUUAAACCCCUUCCCGCCAUUGAAACUGGGGCGCUUGAGUGGAAGAGAAGUAAGCGGAAUUCGUGGUGUAGGGGUGAAAUGCAUAGAGAUCACGCGGAACCCUGAUUGCGAAGGCAGCAUGCCGGCAUCCGACUGACGCUGAAGCACGAAAGCGUGGGGAGCGAACAGGAUUAGAUACCCUGGUAGUC
Molecule: ribosomal RNA, 459 nt
Filed under: uncultured bacterium
Lineage: Bacteria
Description: partial 16S ribosomal RNA
Rfam family: Bacterial small subunit ribosomal RNA
Source: RNAcentral